CAAAAUUAUCCAGUCAGCCAAAUCUUUGCAUUUUACUUCCUAGUUGCCCGGUGAGAGCAGAACAGCCCCUGCAGGGAGAGUUCAGCUCAAAGGGUGCAGGGUCUGUCCAGCCACAAGCUGCCCUGUGGCUUUAAGAACUGGGACUGGCUGGGAGCCCAAGAAGCCACUGCUGCUGCACUGGCCAAGGGAGCCAGGCUAUGGGAGCUGAGCCACCACCAUCAGCGCCAGGGGCUGGCCCAGGCUUGCAGACCUGAGCCCCUCCGAAUGCGCCUGUGCCUGUGGUGAGCGGAAGAAAGGGACCUUCAUGGCUUUUGGAGACUUCUGACGACGGUGUCCCGGAGAGCUACACUUCGAGAGAGAUGUAAGAGGAUGUAACAGAGUGAGAGCGGUGCCUCUGGAAAAUAGAAACGGAGCUGUUUCCCACAGGAAAGAGAGUGCCAUGAACAGUUGCCCCUGUAUCAUGUGCCAGUCUGCCCUGGAGCCAGUCAAUAUGGACUGAAACCUCUACAAACUGUGAGCCAAAUAAAC
Molecule: long non-coding RNA, 528 nt
Organism: Fukomys damarensis (Damara mole-rat)
Lineage: Eukaryota; Metazoa; Chordata; Mammalia; Rodentia; Bathyergidae
Exons: 3
Source: RefSeq, a predicted model, not a curated record